ACAAAAGCUACAAAAAAACAACACACACAAGGUUGUUGUGUUGAAACUAAUUUUUCUUGAAUGAACAACUUUCCUGGUAAAGCGUCUCAGAUUUUAAGAUUGUGAAGAUUUUUACCUACAUGUAUGUACCACAUCUGCACAAACACAAACUGUCAUACCCACUACAUACUGAAGAACCUCUCCAAAAAAAUGAUGACAUCACAGCUGGAGAUGUCAGAAAAAUGAGGCUCAAAAAGUAUUUCAAAAUCCAAAUAAAACAAACGUAUCAAGAAUCUCCAAAAGACGUUUUAAAAUGAUGAUGGGAUGGCAACAAAACCUCCGGCUUGAUGGCCAUUUUGUGACAAAGCAUGACAUUUCUCCAAUUUUCAUGUUUUCCCUCAAUUUGGGGAAAAAAAAAAGUUUUAUUUGAGUGAUAUUCACCCAAAUUUUGGUUAGAACGACAGCCGCGUGUUUGGUUUUGUUCUUUCUUUUGGGUCUGUGUAUUUUUGUCAGAGUGGGACUCGUGUGUGUUUUGUGGAUCUUUGUUUGUCUUCUGUGUCAAUUUCUUUCAGGUGUGGUGCUGGAGGGCGUGGCUCCCCAUUGGUGAAAGCUGAAGGAAGGAGCUUUCAAAAGAACCAUGUGGACCUCCAACCCCCGAGAAGGGACCUGGGCUACAACAUGUCUCCACUGCAGCUCGCACUUUCUGCAUUCCUCACUGAUGAUGAUCCGGUGAUUCCAAGAAUGUACCUGAUCCAGGGGCAGUGAGAUGCUGGAGCCUAUCCCAUCUACCGUGAAGGCAGAGUUCCUCCUGGACAUGUUCACCAAUCCAUCACAGGGAAAGGUACCCUAAUUUUGUUUUUAAAUAUAAGUUUUUUACUUUAAUAUUUUUUUAUUUUUAAGGUCGGAGUGAGUUAGUUGUCAGUGUGAAGACAAUUCUAUGUAACAUUAACCUCGUUAAUGUGUUAGAAAUGUGACGGGUCAAAUUUGACCCGCGUUUUCACUCAGUCUGAAGUCAUAUCCAAGAAAACACCAUGUUUUUUUUAUUUUUUUGAUCCACAGACCUUUAAAUCUACAUUAUACCAUCUGUUUUCAAUUACAAAAACUGUCUAAUCAUAUUUCCUGUAGUGAUAAAACAAAUAAUUAUAAUAUAUAUUUCUUAAAAAUAGUACACCUGUCCCCAAAAGUUUUCUUAAUUUUUUCUUUUACCUAUUUUAAUUCAAAA
Long non-coding RNA from Oryzias melastigma (Indian medaka), 1201 nucleotides. RefSeq lists it as uncharacterized. Lineage: Eukaryota; Metazoa; Chordata; Actinopteri; Beloniformes; Adrianichthyidae. The record is from RefSeq and is a predicted model, not a curated record. The transcript is spliced from 3 exons.